Molecule: ribosomal RNA, 693 nt
Filed under: uncultured Roseospirillum sp.
Lineage: Bacteria; Pseudomonadati; Pseudomonadota; Alphaproteobacteria; Rhodospirillales; Rhodospirillaceae
Description: bacterial SSU rRNA
Rfam family: Bacterial small subunit ribosomal RNA
Source: RNAcentral
CGGCAGGCCUAACACAUGCAAGUCGAACGCACUCUUCGGAGUGAGUGGCGCACGGGUGAGUAACGCGUGGGAACGUACCCUUCGGUGCGGAAUAACCACUGGAAACGGUGGCUAAUACCGCAUACGCCCCUCGGGGGAAAGAUUUAUCGCCGAAGGAUCGGCCCGCGUUGGAUUAGGUAGUUGGUGUGGUAAUGGCGCACCAAGCCGACGAUCCAUAGCUGGUCUGAGAGGAUGAUCAGCCACACUGGGACUGAGACACGGCCCAGACUCCUACGGGAGGCAGCAGUGGGGAAUAUUGGACAAUGGGGGCAACCCUGAUCCAGCCAUGCCGCGUGGGUGAAGAAGGCCUUCGGGUUGUAAAGCCCUUUCAGGUGGGAAGAUGAUGACGGUACCACCAGAAGAAGCCCCGGCUAACUUCGUGCCAGCAGCCGCGGUAAUACGAAGGGGGCUAGCGUUGUUCGGAAUUACUGGGCGUAAAGCGCGCGUAGGCGGAAACGUCAGUCAGAGGUGAAAGCCCAGGGCUCAACCUUGGAACUGCCUUUGAUACUGCGUUUCUUGAGUCCGGAAGAGGGCGGUGGAAUACCCAGUGUAGAGGUGAAAUUCGUAGAUAUUGGGUGGACACCAGUGGCGAAGGCGGCCGCCUGGUCCGGUACUGACGCUGAGGUGCGAAAGCCGUGGGAGCAAACAGGAUUA